AGUGAACGCUGGCGGUAGGCCUAACACAUGCAAGUCGAACGGCAGCACAGUAAGAGCUUGCUCUUACGGGUGGCGAGUGGCGGACGGGUGAGGAAUACAUCGGAAUCUACUUUUUCGUGGGGGAUAACGUAGGGAAACUUACGCUAAUACCGCAUACGACCUACGGGUGAAAGCAGGGGAUCUUCGGACCUUGCGCGAUUGAAUGAGCCGAUGUCGGAUUAGCUAGUUGGCGGGGUAAAGGCCCACCAAGGCGACGAUCCGUAGCUGGUCCGAGAGGAUGAUCAGCCACACUGGAACUGAGACACGGUCCAGACUCCGACGGGAGGCAGCAGUGGGGAAUAUUAGGCAAUGGGCGCAAGCCUGAUCCAGCCAUACCGCGUGGGUGAAGAAGGCCUUCGGGUUGUAAAGCCCUGUUGUUGGGAAAGAAAAGCAGCAGGUUAAUACCCCGCUGUUCUGACGGUACCCAAAGAAUAAGCACCGGCUAACUUCGUG
RNAcentral lists this ribosomal RNA (492 nucleotides) under uncultured bacterium. RNAcentral describes it as "partial 16S ribosomal RNA". It matches the Rfam family "Bacterial small subunit ribosomal RNA", at positions 29 to 507 of the family's 1533-position model. The record is from RNAcentral.